AUCCACGAUGCCUUGCUGCGACUUCAAUCGUUGAUUGCUUCGAAUCGAUGUAACAAAGCUUGGUUUGUAAAUCUGAUUUUUACUAGAUUUUUGUUGAAUUCAUUUCGAAAAUCAAAUAUUUUAGUAGAUAUUUGUGAGAUCUGAUCUGAAAAUCAAAUAUCUCACAUCCUUCAUUUGAGGUCCAAUCUGGAGAUCAGAUAUCUCACAUCUUUCAUUUGAGAUCCAAUCC
Molecule: long non-coding RNA, 229 nt
Filed under: Elaeis guineensis (African oil palm)
Lineage: Eukaryota; Viridiplantae; Streptophyta; Magnoliopsida; Arecales; Arecaceae
Description: long non-coding RNA (EGUI_LNC014029)
Source: RNAcentral